UAGGGAAUCUUCGGCAAUGGACGAAAGUCUGACCGAGCAACGCCGCGUGAGUGAAGAAGGUUUUCGGAUCGUAAAACUCUGUUGUUAGAGAAGAACAAGGACGUUAGUAACUGAACGUCCCCUGACGGUAUCUAACCAGAAAGCCACGGCUAACUACGUGCCAGCAGCCGCGGUAAUACGUAGGUGGCAAGCGUUGUCCGGAUUUAUUGGGCGUAAAGCGAGCGCAGGCGGUUUCUUAAGUCUGAUGUGAAAGCCCCCGGCUCAACCGGGGAGAGUCAUUGGAAACUGGGAGACUUGAGUGCAGAAGAGGAGAGUGGAAUUCCAUGUGUAGCGGUGAAAUGCGUAGAUAUAUGGAGGAACACCAGUGGCGAAGGCGGCUCUCUGGUCUGUAACUGACGCUGAGGCUCGAAAGCGUGGGGAGCAAACAGG
Molecule: ribosomal RNA, 429 nt
Filed under: Acidobacteriota bacterium
Lineage: Bacteria; Pseudomonadati; Acidobacteriota
Also listed under: 2 other names
Description: Acidobacteria bacterium partial 16S ribosomal RNA
Rfam family: Bacterial small subunit ribosomal RNA
Source: RNAcentral